RNAcentral lists this long non-coding RNA (2924 nucleotides) under Prunus dulcis (almond). Its description in RNAcentral is "sRNA ncRNA". Lineage: Eukaryota; Viridiplantae; Streptophyta; Magnoliopsida; Rosales; Rosaceae. The record is from RNAcentral.
AUUUUUAUUGUAAAUUGAUUGCACACAUAUCACAUUUUCAGAAAACCUGAGGGGAACUACAGGUUUAGAAUGACUUCGCCUCCGCCUCUUUUCUCGUUCGAUCCUCUACGGCCUCCGCUUCCUCUCUCCUUCGUUCUUCUACGCCCCUGCCUCCGCCUCUGCUUUUUCGAUUGUCUGCCUUCCUCCUCCUCCUCUGCUUUUUCGAUUGUCUACCUUCCUCCUCCUCCUCCUCCUACUUGGCUCUUCUCCUCAGCUAUCAGCUAUUUCAUACCCAGAAGUGUUGGAUCCUGAGCAAGCAGUGAAAGGGCUAUCUGGUAAUCUAAUGACUAAUACUAUUAGUUGGAUAUGCUGUAUGUUUUCUCUUCAAAAUUCUAGAUUUAGUAGGGUUGGCAUACACUAUCAUGACCUGAUAUAUUUUCAGUCUGUUUUAAUUACUGGCUAUUAGGGUGUGGUUUGAAACUUUGACUGAUGGGGGGGGGGAGCUUGGACGGAGUUUUCUUAUUUUUGUGAAAUGGGUUUUGGAGGAUUAGGGAUUUUAGGGGAGUGUGUGAGUUCGCUGUUUUGGUGGAAGAUAUAUGCAGAAGGGUUAUGAUGAUGAUGGGGGUGGGUUUUUGUGUUUUGUUAAUUCUUUUGUUUGUCGGAAGAAGAAUGAGAUAUUUUUCCAACUCUUAUGAGUGAGUUGGGUUCAAAAGCAAUUAUUGUUGGUUUUAUAUUUUGAUUUAUUUGCAACUGUCUUUAUAGAAUUUAAUUUUUAAUAGUAAUAUAUGUAUUCUUCAUGAAUGGUUUUGCUCUGUUCAGGUGCGUCUGUCUACAUGGGUUUGUGCUUGAAGCAUAAUGCAAGUUUUGUUAAUAAAUUCUCUGUUUUAUGCUGUGCAGGUGUGAAUUGGAAUAAAUAAAAAAAAUUUGCUGGGUUUUUGAGACUUGUGAUGUUAUUCAUCAGUAUUCAUGCCUGGUUUCUUCUUGCAAUAAUUUUGUUGAUUGUGAGCUUUUCCCUCUAGCGCUUGUUGCUGAUACUGAUUGUGAAGGUGAAUUGGUUGUGCUUUAUGAUGUUUGAACCUCAUUUCUGUUUCUUCUCUUUCAUGCCAAUAGGUUGUAGGAAACUCCGCUCUCAAACAUAGACAAUGAACAAUUGAGUUGACAUGCUGCUGGGAGAAUUGUUUGCAAUGCAGAGAAGACUUGUCUCUUACUUUUGUGAUGAUGAACUGGGUGAGAUUCUUUAAGAGUGAUGUGUCAUAUUUGAAUUUUUGAAUAUCAUAUUUUAGUUUUGUUUUUAAGUUUUGAACUUUGUUCUAUUUCAGCAUCCUAUAGACCUGUGUUAACUUAUAUCUACAUGUGAUAUGGAUAUAACUUAUGCUUUCAAAUUAAUUUGACUUGUGUUAUAUCUUGUUUCGUACCUUUGUUUCGAAAAUUUCUUUGUAAAGACCAAAAAGAAUAGUGUGUUUUUGUCAUGAAUGAUGUAUGGACAAAUUGGAAUGUGUUGAAUAUGAUGCAAGCUGGUGUUACAGAGCAUGAUAUCCAAUAUGAUGAUGUAUGGGUGCAUGUAAUAUUAACCCAUAUUAACUCUGUUAAGGAAAUAGGGAAAAAGGCCAUGGCAUUGAAAUUAGUAUUGCUAGUCUUCUGUACAUCCUAUGUAUUUAUUAAGACGUGGGUAUUUGAAUUGAUCCGAUUCAUGAAGAUCAAGAAUUAGAUUGAUUGGCGGAGUAGGUGAUUCCAUAUCUAGUAUUUCUCUCUCCUAUUUCAAGCGAGUAAUUAUGCCAUUAAGUGGUCUUGAGAAUUGACAUUAAAUUUGCAUAUAAUCUAAUAAUCAGUUUUUGUUUGAGUAUAAGAAAGAAUGUUUUUUUAAUUUCUCUCUGUUCUCAUCAUUGGUAUUAGAACUUUCAAUGCCAUGGCCAACAAUGCUUUGUAUUAAUCCUGCUGAUUAUGCUUAUCUUGCAGGUUGUAGCAAGCAAUUUUGACAUAAGAGUUGAGUUGAAAUUGAAACUUGCUAUUGAACCAAAAGGGAGCUGCUGAAAGUGGGUCUAAGCAGCAGCAACAACAACCCAACAGGUAUGUGGUGCUUCUCUGUCACCAUAAUUCUAUGUUCUGCAAUUUCUGAUAAUCAGUUUAUGUUUGAGUAUAAAAAAGAAAGUCACAGAUUAUGAUUUUGUUCUUGCCAAUAUUGUUAAUGGCAGGGUAGACAUGGAUCGAAAGAGAAAGAGGAAGAUUGUGACAACUCUAGUUGCAGUAGAGUUAGAUAAACAACAUUUGUGUGCAUCCAUGAUGUCAGUAACUGUCAUAUAUACUUUGACAGAUGGUACUAUGAAAAAUACCAUUACCGCAUCUGACCAAUGGUCUGGAUGGAGGGAUAGUAAAUAGAAAAUCUAUAUGUUGGGGGUUUUCUGGCUAGCUAAAAAUCUGUGAGAAAUGAUGAAUCCAUCUGAUUGCAGCCUAUUUAAUGUUUAAUACCUUCAUUAAAAAAAGGUUGUUGACAGUGCUUUGACUAUCUUGCAGAUUAUAAUGGCAAAACCAGCAGGUGGCCCUAGUGAGAGAGAUCAGCAUGCAGGGAUGGAUGAGGACUAAUUUUGUGUGUAUGACAAUUGACUAUCUUUGCUUGUAUUGCUCUAUGUUAGGGAUCUUUUGUUCCAUUUUAGUAACAAUUUUGUUUAGGAGAAAAAGAAACAUAUUGCAGUUCAUGCUUUGUAAAUGCCACUAUUAUGUUAUGAUGGACACGUGGUAUGCCCUUGUUGGGUAGGUUUUGGAUUGAAACCAUGGUCGAGUGCUUGAGCCAUGUUUAGUGUGAAGCUUGAAUGGAUUUUCUUUUAUGUUGUAUUUGGCCCUUGUCUUUUCAAGCAUGCCAAAAAUCAUCCUAGUUUUGUAAUAUGUGGUUUGUGUCCAAUUAAUUUACUGUGGACCUUGCAUUUUUGUACCCAAUAUUUGAUAGCUGC